AAGCGAACCUGCGAAGGCAAGCGGAUCUCUUAAAGCCGUUCUCAGUUCGGACUGUAGGCUGCAACUCGCCUACACGAAGCUGGAAUCGCUAGUAAUCGCGGAUCAGCACGCCGCGGUGAAUACGUUCCCGGGCCUUGUACACACCGCCCGUCACACCAUGAGAGUCUGUAACACCCAAAGCCGGUGGGAUAACCUUUAUAGGAGUCAGCCGUCUAAGGUAGGACAGAUGAUUAGGGUGAAGUCGUAACAAGGUAAC
Molecule: ribosomal RNA, 256 nt
Filed under: uncultured bacterium
Lineage: Bacteria
Description: partial 16S ribosomal RNA
Rfam family: Bacterial small subunit ribosomal RNA
Source: RNAcentral